GAUGAACGCUGACAGCAUGCUUAACACAUGCAAGUCCACUUGAACUUCGGUUUGGGUGGCGGACGGGUGAGUAACGCGUAAAGAACUUGCCUCACAGAUAGGGACAACAUUUGGAAACGAAUGCUAAUACCUGAUAUUAUGAUUAUAUGGCAUCGUAUAAUUAUGAAAGCUAUAUGCGCUGUGAGAGAGCUUUGCGUCCCAUUAGCUAGUUGGAGAGGUAACGGCUCACCAAGGCGAUGAUGGGUAGCCGGCCUGAGAGGGUGAUCGGCCACAAGGGGACUGAGACACGGCCCUUACUCCUACGGGAGGCAGCAGUGGGGAAUAUUGGACAAUGGACCAAGAGUCUGAUCCAGCAAUUCUGUGUGCACGAUGAAGUUUUUCGGAAUGUAAAGUGCUUUCAGUUGGGAAGAAAAAAAUGACGGUACCAACAGAAGAAGUGACGGCUAAAUACGUG
This 454-nucleotide ribosomal RNA is filed under the name uncultured bacterium. RNAcentral describes it as "partial 16S ribosomal RNA". It matches the Rfam family "Bacterial small subunit ribosomal RNA", at positions 28 to 507 of the family's 1533-position model. The record is from RNAcentral.